This 468-nucleotide ribosomal RNA is filed under the name uncultured bacterium. RNAcentral describes it as "partial 16S ribosomal RNA". It matches the Rfam family "Bacterial small subunit ribosomal RNA", at positions 28 to 507 of the family's 1533-position model. The record is from RNAcentral.
GACGAACGCUGGCGGCGUGCUUAACACAUGCAAGUCGAACGGAAAGGCCCUGCUUUUGUGGGGUGCGCGAGUGGCGAACGGGUGAGUAACACGUGAGUAACCUGCCCUUGACUUUGGGAUAACUUCAGGAAACUGGGGCUAAUACCGGAUAGGAGCUCCUGCUGCAUGGUGGGGGUUGGAAAGUUUCGGCGGUUGGGGAUGGACUCGCGGCUUAUCAGCUUGUUGGUGGGGUAGUGGCUUACCAAGGCUUUGACGGGUAGCCGGCCUGAGAGGGUGACCGGCCACAUUGGGACUGAGAUCCGGCCCAGCCUCCUACGGGCGGCAGCAGUGGGGAAUAUUGCCCAAUGGCCGGAAGCAUGUUGCAGAAAAGUCGCGGGUGGUAUGACGGCCUUCGGGUCGUACACCUCUUUCGCCUUAGACGUAGCGAGAGUGCCGGUACUGGGUAAACAAGCCCCGGCUAACUACGUG